ACUUCCAUGUGGUAGUCUUGCUAUUACAAUCCUGUACUGUUGUUAAGUGCUAUAUAUCAGUAAGUGCUGGCCUAGUUUCUAAUGUGCAUCAAUUUACAUUAUUAAACCUGAACUUAUGAAAUUUGACAUUUGAAUUGACAAGUUCUUCCUCAAACCAAUUUUCAAAUAUCUUCUUUGUUGGUUGUGCUUUUUAGGGAGAAUAAAAUGGCUUGUUUCCUGUUUGAUCAUUUCAAUCAGUAUUUGCAUCACUUUGUCAUGUAUUCUUAGUUCUCACAACCACCUUGUACUUAUGCAUGUACUUUGUAGUGAGAAAGCAAGUCUAGAGCAGGAGUUUUCCAUCUGG
RNAcentral lists this unclassified non-coding RNA (343 nucleotides) under Hevea brasiliensis (rubber tree). The record is from RNAcentral. Lineage: Eukaryota; Viridiplantae; Streptophyta; Magnoliopsida; Malpighiales; Euphorbiaceae.